UUUCCGUAGGUGAACCUGCGGAAGGAUCAUUACCGAAGAUAACGGGGGUCUUGAGACUGCGUCCUUGGUGGCGUGUGCUCGACCCUUUCUUUCAUCCACACACACCCUUGUGCACUGAUGGGGGGACGUCGUUCCCCCCUUUUACACAAACACCGAGUUUUAUAUAUGCAUGUUUUGUUGAUACUACUCUACGGAGUAAAUAUGUAACAACUUUCAACAACGGAUCUCUUGGCUUUCGCAUCGAUGAAGAACGCAGCGAAUGUGCGAAACGUAAUGUGAAUUGCAGAAUUCAGUGAAUCAUCGAAUCUUUGAACGCAUCUUGCGCUCCUUGGUAUUCCGAGGAGCAUGCCUGUUUGAGUGUCGUGUUAAUGCUCAACUUCAAUUCUUUUUGUUUUGAAUUUGGAUUUUGGGUGUUGUUGUGUGUACAGCUCAUCCUAAACGCAUUAGCGAUCUGUCUCUUUUGAUCACACAGCAAUGUGAUAAGAAAAAGCAUUGUUAGGAUCGGGUCAAGGUUGCUUCUAACUGUCGAAAGACAAACCAUGUGUCAAUUUGACCUCAGAUCAGGCAGGACUACCCGCUGAACUUAAGCA
This 590-nucleotide ribosomal RNA is filed under the name Geastrum sp. TNS KH-JPN10-693. RNAcentral's name for it is "eukaryotic LSU rRNA". The stretch from base 209 to 363 matches the Rfam family "5.8S ribosomal RNA". The record is from RNAcentral. Lineage: Eukaryota; Fungi; Basidiomycota; Agaricomycetes; Geastrales; Geastraceae.